GAUGAACGCUGGCGGCGUGCCUAAUACAUGCAAGUCGAGCGGUAAGGCUUCUUCGGAAGUACACGAGCGGCGGACGGCUGAGUAAUGCAUAGGAAUGUACCCCAAACUGAGGGAUAAGCCAUCGAAAGAUGGUCUAAUACCGCAUGUGCUCUUCGGAGUAAAGCUACGGCGGUUUGGGAGCAGCCUAUGUCCGAUUGGCUAGUUGGUGAGGUAAUAGCUCACCAAGGCGACGAUCGGUAGCGGGUCUGAGAGGAUGAUCCGCCAGACUGGAACUGAGAUACGGUCCAGACUCCUACGGGAGGCAGCAGUAGGGAAUUUUCCACAAGGGGCGAAAGCCUUAUGGAGCAACGCCGCGUGCAGGAUGAAGGUUUUAGGAUCGUAAACUGCUUUUAUAUGUGACGAAUAUGACGGUAGCAUAUGAAUAAGGAUCGGCUAACUCCGUGCCAGCCGCCGCAGUAA
RNAcentral lists this ribosomal RNA (459 nucleotides) under uncultured bacterium. RNAcentral's name for it is "partial 16S ribosomal RNA". It matches the Rfam family "Bacterial small subunit ribosomal RNA", at positions 28 to 523 of the family's 1533-position model. The record is from RNAcentral.